Molecule: ribosomal RNA, 497 nt
Filed under: uncultured bacterium
Lineage: Bacteria
Description: bacterial SSU rRNA
Rfam family: Bacterial small subunit ribosomal RNA
Source: RNAcentral
AACGAACGCUGGCGGCGCGCCUAAUACAUGCAAGUCGAGCGAGAAGACGUAGCAAUACGUUUGUAAAGCGGCGAACGGGUGGGGAAUACAUGGGUAACCUACCCUCGAGUGGGGAAUAACUAGCCGAAAGGUUAGCUAAUACCGCGUACGCUUCUUGGACUUCGGUUCAGGGAGGAAAGCGAUACCGUGGGUAUCGCGCUCUUGGAUGGGCUCAUGUCCUAUCAGCUUGUUGGUGAGGUAACGGCUCACCAAGGCUACGACGGGUAGCUGGUCUGAGAGGACGAUCAGCCACACUGGCACUGCGACACGGGCCAGACUCCUACGGGAGGCAGCAGUAAGGAAUAUUGCGCAAUGGGCGAAAGCCUGACGCAGCGACGCCGCGUGGGGGAUGAAGGCCUUCGGGUCGUAAAGCUCUGUCGGAGGGAACGAAUAUUCCUGGGGUUAACAGCCCCGGGAAGUGACGGUACCCUCAAAGGAAGCACCGGCUAACUCUGUGC